UAACGGCCCACCAAGGCGACAACGGGUAGCUGGUCUGAGAGGAUGGUCAGCCACACUGGAACUGAGACACGGUCCAGACACCUACGGGUGGCAGCAGUCGAGAAUCAUUCGCAAUGGGGGAAACCCUGACGAUGCGACGCCGCGUGGAGGAUGAAGGCCUUAGGGUUGUAAACUCCUGUCAAGAGGGAAUAAGCAAGUGAAGGUACCUCUAGAGGAAGGGGCGGCUAAUUCCGUGCCAGCAGCCGCGGUAACACGGAAGCCCCGAGCGUUGUUCGGAUUCAUUGGGCGUAAAGGGUGCGUAGGCGGCGCGGAAAGUCCGGCGUGAAAGGCAGGGGCUCAACCUCUGGACUGCGUUGGAUACUUCCGUGCUUGAGGACUGGAGGGGAGACUGGAAUUCACGGUGUAGCAGUGAAAUGCGUAGAUAUCGUGAGGAAGACCGGUGGCGAAGGUGAGUCUCUGGACAGAUCCUGACGCUGAGGCACGAAGGCUGGGGGAGCGAACAGGAUUAGAUACCCUGGUAGUCCCAGCAGUAAACGAUGUGAGCUUGAUGUGGGGGGAUUCGACCCCUUCCGUGUCGAAGCUAACGCGAUAAGCUCACCGCCUGAGGAGUACGGCCGCAAGGCUAAAACUCAAAGAAAUUGACGGGGACCCGCACAAGCGGUGGAGUAUGUGGCUUAAUUCGAUGCAACGCGAAGAACCUUACCUGGCCUUGACAUGCAUUGUGUCGUCGGUGAAAGCCGGCUAGUCCUGGAAACAGGACGCUUUGCACAGGUGCUGCAUGGCUGUCGUCAGCUCGUGUCGUGAGAUGUUGGGUUAAGUCCCGCAACGAGCGCAACCCUUGUGGUCAGUUACUAACCGGCUUAGCCGGAGGACUCUGGCCAGACUGCCCUGUCAAACGGGGAGGAAGGUGGGGACGACGUCAAGUCAGUAUGGCCCUUAUGGCCAGGGCUGCACACGUACUACAAUGCCCGGUACAAUGUGAACCGAAACCGCGAGGUGGAGGAAAUCGCUCUUGAAAACCGGGCCCAGUUCGGAUUGGAGUCUGCAACUCGACUCCAUGAAGUCGGAAUCGCUAGUAAUGGCGUAUC
RNAcentral lists this ribosomal RNA (1088 nucleotides) under uncultured organism. Its description in RNAcentral is "bacterial SSU rRNA". It matches the Rfam family "Bacterial small subunit ribosomal RNA", at positions 258 to 1350 of the family's 1533-position model. The record is from RNAcentral.